Molecule: ribosomal RNA, 492 nt
Filed under: uncultured bacterium
Lineage: Bacteria
Description: partial 16S ribosomal RNA
Rfam family: Bacterial small subunit ribosomal RNA
Source: RNAcentral
AGUGAACGCUGGCGGUAGGCCUAACACAUGCAAGUCGAACGGCAGCACAGUAAGAGCUUGCUCUUACGGGUGGCGAGUGGCGGACGGGUGAGGAAUACAUCGGAAUCUACUUUUUCGUGGGGGAUAACGUAGGGAAACUUACGCUAAUACCGCAUACGACCUACGGGUGAAAGCAGGGGAUCUUCGGACCUUGCGCGAUUGAAUGAGCCGAUGUCGGAUUAGCUAGUUGGCGGGGUAAAGGCCCACCAAGGCGACGAUCCGUAGCUGGUCUGAGAGGAUGUGAGGCCACACUGGAACUGAGACACGGGCCAGACUCCUAUGGGAGGCAGCGGUGGGGGAUAUUGGACAAUGGGCGCAAGACUGAUCCAGCCAUACCGCGUGUGUGAAGAAAGCCUUCGGGUUGUAAAACCCCUUUGUUUGGAAAGAAAAGCAGCAGGUUAAAACCCCGCUGUUCUGACGGUACCCAAAGAAUAAGCACAGGCUAACUUCGUG